GCCUACGUGAGGCAGCAGUAGGGAAUUUUCGUCAAUGGGCGCAAGCCUGAACGAGCAAUGCCGCGUGAACGAGGAAGGUCUUCGGAUCGUAAAGUUCUUUUGAAGGGGAAAAAGAGCGGAGAGAGGAAAUGAACUCCGAGUGAUAUUACCCUUCGAGUAAGUCACGGAUAACUACGUGCCAGCAGCCGCGGUAAUCCGGAGGUGGCGAGCGUUAACCGGAAUUAUUGGUCGUAAAGGGUUCGUAGGCGGCCUGCUAAGUCUGGGGUGAAAGGUACCGGCUCAACCGGGACAGGCUCUGGAAUCUGGCGGGCUAGAGAGCAGGAGAGGGAGGUGGAACUCCAUGUGUAGCGGUAAAAUGCGUAGAUAUAUGGAAGAACACCAGUGGCGAAGGCGGCCGCCUGGCCUGUUGACUGACGCUGAGGCACGAAAGCGUGGGGAGCAAAUAGGAUUAGAUACCCUAGUAGUC
Molecule: ribosomal RNA, 466 nt
Filed under: uncultured bacterium
Lineage: Bacteria
Description: partial 16S ribosomal RNA
Rfam family: Bacterial small subunit ribosomal RNA
Source: RNAcentral